Non-coding RNA from Arachis ipaensis, 1323 nucleotides. NCBI's taxonomy places the organism in Eukaryota, Viridiplantae, Streptophyta, Magnoliopsida, Fabales, Fabaceae. The record is from RefSeq and is a predicted model, not a curated record.
AAAGACUAAAUUUUCCUUACUAAACUAACCUUAACCCUUCCUCUUCAUAUUUUUCCUUCUCAUUUCAUCAGAAAACCAAACCCUAGCAGAGCCCAUCGUCCAUGAAAACCAAACCCUAGCAGUGCCCAAAUUCAUGGAGGCUCCACCGGUGUCGGCUUCGCCUCACCGCCGAUUUAGAUUUGCACGACCACCGCGCACCUCAUUCUAGAAGGAAGAUUCACUGCUUCUACGCUUGUUUUGUUUGCGUUCGUGUUUCCUCUUCUGCCACUCCGAGGUCGUGCGUAAGGGCGAUGAGCUCGAUUUCUCCGUUGGAUUCACUUCAACUUCGUUCCCGCUCGAUAACUUCUUCGUGUCGCCAAGGUGCGGCUGCAGAUUGAACUGCAAUGAUGAAGACAACAACGAAUUCAGAGUGAGGAAGCUUAAGUUAAGGAUUUCGUGUCGCCAAGAAUGGAUCCCAAACAAAAGAUGAGAAUUAUUGCCUGCUUGAUUUUACGUUUCGAACUAAUGAAUAACCUUAUGGUUAAGUUGUUGACGAUUUGCUAUGUUUUGACUAUAUCGCAAUUGAGAAAAAAGAAAAGAAAAUGGAAUCAUAGUUAUAGUAGGCAAGUAGUAAGGGAUGUUAGUAAUUAUAGGAUUAUUUAUUUUAGUGAUCUAGCAUGUAUAGAAAACACAAGAAUGGAUAGACAUGCGUUUUAUGCAUUGUGUAAUAUGCUUAGAGGGAUUGGAAUGUUAGAACCAAGUAGGAAUAUAGGUGUAGAAGAAAUGGUUGCCAUAUUUUUACAUAUUAUAGCACAUGACGUCAAAAUUAGAAAUAAAGAGACAAUUUCUGAGAUCUAAAGAAACAAUUAGUAGGCCAUUUAAUGAUGUAUUGCUUGCUAUUUUGAGAUAUCAUAAUCUCUUUUUAAAGAAACCUCAACCAUUUAGCCAGGAUAAAAUGGAUGAACGAUGGAAAUGGUUCAAGGUAAUUUAUCUUGCUAAUGCUAUUAAACCUGAUAUGCUUGGUGUGGUUUAGGAUUGAGUUAAUUGAUCUUUUUUUUUUGGAUUUUAGAAUUGCCUAGGAGCCUUAGAUGGUAUCCAUAUCAAGGUCAAUGUCCUUGAGGCUGAUAAGCCUAGAUAUCGAAACAGAAUAGGUGACAUAACAAUUAAUGUGCUUGGAGUGGUUGCUCCCGAUAUGUAAUUUAUCUAUGUACUGGCGGGUUGGGAGGGUUCAACUGUGAAUUCUAGCGGUAUUGUGAGAUGCACUAUUUCGCAAUGGGUAUACUGUUUCCUAAGGUAUUUUAUUGAGACUUUAGUAUGUUAUUAAAGUAACCAUUUGAUCUUUUA